Molecule: ribosomal RNA, 492 nt
Filed under: uncultured bacterium
Lineage: Bacteria
Description: partial 16S ribosomal RNA
Rfam family: Bacterial small subunit ribosomal RNA
Source: RNAcentral
AGUGAACGCUGGCGGUAGGCCUAACACAUGCAAGUCGAACGGCAGCACAGUAAGAGCUUGCUCUUACGGGUGGCGAGUGGCGGACGGGUGAGGAAUACAUCGGAAUCUACUUUUUCGUGGGGGAUAACGUAGGGAAACUUACGCUAAUACCGCAUACGACCUACGGGUGAAAGCAGGGGAUCUUCGGACCUUGCGCGAUUGAAUGAGCCGAUGGCGGAUUAGCUAGUUGGCGGGGUAAAGGCCCACCAAGGCGACGAUCCGUAGCUGGUCUGAGAGGAUGAUCAGCCACACUGGAACUGAGACACGGUCCAGACUCCUACGGGAGGCAGCAGUGGGGAAUAUUGGACAAUGGGCGCAAGCCUGAUCCAGCCAUGCCGCGUGGGUGAAGAAGGCCUUCGGGUUGUAAAGCCCUUUUGUUGGGAAAGAAAAGCAGCAGGUUAAUACCCCGCUGUUCUGACGGUACCCAAAGAAUAAGCACCGGCUAACUUCGUG